Molecule: ribosomal RNA, 700 nt
Filed under: Bacillus sp. ARRCAS004
Lineage: Bacteria; Bacillati; Bacillota; Bacilli; Caryophanales; Bacillaceae
Description: bacterial SSU rRNA
Rfam family: Bacterial small subunit ribosomal RNA
Source: RNAcentral
GCAGUCGAGCGGAUCUUCAGUAGCUUGCUCCCUGAGAUUAGCGGCGGACGGGUGAGUAACACGUGGGUAACCUGCCUGUAAGAUUGGGAUAACUUCGGGAAACCGGAGCUAAUACCGGAUAAUCUUUUCACCCGCAUGGUUCAAAGUUGAAAGACGGCUUCUGCUGUCCCUUACAGAUGGGCCCCCGGCGCAUUAACUAAUUGGUGAGGUAACGGCUCACCAAGGCAACCAUGCCUAACCCACCUGAAAGGGUGAUCGGCCACACUGGGACUGAAACACGGCCCAAACUCCUACGGGAGGCAGCAGUAAGGAAUCUUCCGCAAUGGACGAAAGUCUGACGGAACAACGCCCCGUGAACGAUGAAAGCCUUCCGGUCCUAAAGUUCUGUUGUUAGGGAAGAACAAGUACCCGAAUAACUGCCGGUACCUUGACGGUACCUAACCAGAAAGCCACGGCUAACUACGUGCCAGCAGCCGCGGUAAUACCUAAGUGGCAAGCGUUGUCCGGAAUUAUUGGGCGUAAAGCGCGCGCAAGGCGUUUCUUAAGUCUGAUGUGAAAGCCCCCGGCUCAACCGUGGAGGGUCAUUGGAAACUGGGGAACUUGAAUGCAGAAGAAGAGAGCGGAAUUCCACGUGUAACGGUGAAAUGCGUAGAGAUGUGGAAGAACACCAGUGGCGAAAGCCACUCUCUGGUCUGUAACU